AUAAGCUGCUUUUUUCCUUGAGAGCAAUUAAUUGGUUCCCACUGCCAUUUGCAGCCAUACUAGAAAAUGGGGAGUGUGGUGCUUCUUUGGAUGUGUAGGUGCAAUGUUCAUGGUCUCCUGGCACCUUCCCCCAGCUGCCAAACACGCAACUAAAGGAGGAUGCAUCUUUGACAGCAGGAUGGGGAAAACUGAGGAUAUUUGUCAUCACCACUGCCAGUCUCAGCAAGGACCCAGGCCAAGGACUAUGCUUGCUAGAAGGCAUUGAAGAGAUCUCAUAUUCCCAUUCCCAGAGAAUGGAAAGCAUCACCUCAAUCUCCACACCUGACUCUGGAAAAGAUACUGUUCUGUUCUACAUCCUAAUUAUUUUAUUAUCUUCAUGGAACUCGCAUCAAAAGAAGUGUCCUUCCAUGGCCUCCACGUUAGUUGGACCAGAUCUGGGAAUUGACCCAAGAAGAACUAUAAGCUCUUGCUAUCAACUCUUGGAUCCUCGGUACCUGCAGCUCCAGGAGAUGGGAGCAUCACAAACUGCUGUGCUCAGUGGGAUGCUGAGCAGUCACUCAGUGAUUGAAGUAUGCUACCUUGAUCCCAGUUCCAUGGCAAUCUUCCCAGUGAAGCAGGUGACUUUCACUGUCCUCUUCCCAAGAGCAAAUAACCCCCAGAUGCUUUGCUGUGCCUGGUGAAACGGAGUCCUGUUGUGGCCCUAAUGGUGUCAUCACCCGUAGUUACCUGAGACUUGUUAGGUCACCAGCACAGACAGCUGCAAGCAAUGGACUUUUUGGGGUCGAGCACAUGGAGGACACAGAUUCACCCCCUGGCCCACCACCUCCCUGCCCCCAGGCUCACACUGCAGCUGUCACCAUACAAUUCCAACCAGGAAUGUACUGAACCUCACUUCCACGUUCCCCUGCGCUGCCCCAGGCUUCAAUACGCACGGCCACAACUUUUCCUGGACUCGCUGUCCCUUUGCCAGAGAGCAUGCUCUACUUUCAUCUCCAGUUCUAAGCAUUCGAAGCUGUAAUUACCAGAAGAAUUUGAUGCAGAGCGCAUCCAGGAAUACGAAUCAAAGCUUUUGCUCAGGCAGGCUGAGAGCUGGUAAUUACAGAGAGGGAAGCUCAGUGCUUUGCAGCAACUCCAGCUGCAUGGAGGGGAGCUGACCUCCAAACACAUCUGAGGCGCUUCGUUAUCAGAGAUGGAGGGAGAUGGGAUGGAGCACAGAGGGAUGGGUCGUAAAUUUCAGCUGCCAAGUGAGGGAGAUCCAGAUGGUACUCACCAAUAAUUGCUCUGAGGUCUUUGCCCAUCACUUCUGUGCUCUCCAGGCACAGCUUUUUCAAGCUGCUUUUGGGAAGCGGAAUUGGAAGAAGUUUCAGCAACCUUGUCAUUCCAAGGUUAAAAAUGUCAACAUCUGACAAUAUAACAGAAGUCAUGAAAGUGCUCUGGAAGUAUACUAUUGCAUGUUUUUUCUUCUUUUUUCUGCUUUUUUUUUUUUUCUUCUUUUUUUUCUGUGUAAUUUAUGACAUAAGAAUAAAGGAAUAUUUCACUUCUAAUAAGAAUAUUCU
Long non-coding RNA from Phasianus colchicus (ring-necked pheasant), 1556 nucleotides. NCBI's taxonomy places the organism in Eukaryota, Metazoa, Chordata, Aves, Galliformes, Phasianidae. The record is from Ensembl.